Molecule: small RNA, 145 nt
Filed under: Weissella viridescens
Lineage: Bacteria; Bacillati; Bacillota; Bacilli; Lactobacillales; Lactobacillaceae
Description: PyrR
Rfam family: PyrR binding site
About the family: This family represents the PyrR binding site and terminator structure. This RNA structure is found upstream of a variety of genes involved in pyrimidine biosynthesis and transport. The alignment also includes a portion of the antiterminator structure.
Source: RNAcentral
UUGACCUUUUAAUAUCGAGUCCAGAGAGGCUAACAAGGGUUUGGUUUUUGAAUCAAUUGACAUAAAUAAUUCCCGCGUAACUGGGACAUUUUUACUGCAAUUAUUGAAAAGUCCGGGAACUCUUAUGUUCCCGGACUUUUUUGCA